AGCAGGGGGCACUGUGCGCCUGCUCCCGAUGGGUGUGAGCGGGCCCCGUGUUUGAGUACGGAGAGCCAAGUCUAGGGUCUGCAGUCUUUGCUCUCCCUCCCCGGCCAUUCGAAGUGAGACGGUUUGCUUUCGAGUUUCUCCACUGUAAGCUGCAGACGCCAUUUCUGGCGCUGCAGCCGGAGGCUUGUGGGCGCAGCGCUUGUCCGGAGCGGCCCCGGGGUGCCGGUGGCGGGGGAAGGUAGCGGGGGAGGCCGUGCCGAGGUGUGGGCCGGGGAGCUGGGCGGGCGGGCCUUGCGCGCGGCCUUUUGCGCCUCAGUGUCUGCUGUGGAGAGAGCUCUGCUACGGCCCGCUCCCGGGGUGCCGUUGCACACGGGCAGCCCAGCUUCCCCUCACCGAGCUCGUCCAGAGCUCCCCACCCUUCAGGCCUCCUGCGCUUCUUGGUUCCCUGCACGCAGCUUUUCGUCGCCUGGCCUUUUCCAGCUUCUAAGGGCCCAGAAAAGAGGCUGCAUUCCCUGGCUCACAGCCCCUUCCUUCACCUGUAAAGCCAGCUUUGUAGAUCUCUGCAUCGCCUCAUCAUCUCCUGUCUCCUUUUAUGGAUCCUGGUGUUCAUGUUGGACCCCCAUGGAUAGCCCUGGAUAAUCACAUGUGAAGGUCAGUUUAUCAGCAUCACAAUUUCAUGUGCAGCCUGCCUUUCUCCUAGCCAUGUGAUGGAACACAUUCACAGGUUCUGAAAAUUAGGACAUUUUUAUGGAUCGUUAAUCUGACUACCUUAAUAGCUUAGCUUUUAUGUCAGUUCAAAUGAAGAUGCUAUCUUUUUUCAGUACAAAAUAAUAAUAAAAGAUGCUAAAAUUAUUUAUUGCAGCCAUGUUUUUGAUGCUUUAUACUUUUUUUUUUUGGUACUUGGGAUUGAACUUGGGUCCUUGCACUUGCACAGCAGGCAGCAAAACCACUGAGCUAAAUCCCCAGCCCGCUUUAUACUUAUUAAUGCUCAUCAAUCUUAUGUAUAUAUUGUAGUCAUGCUAUUUUAUAAAUGAAACUGAGGAAAAGAGGUUUUAAGUAGCUUUCCAAAGCCCCACUGAUCCCAGGAAAUACCUGAUUACAAAGCCCUUGUUGUUGAGUCACUGGGAAGACUGAGUAGAUACAUCUUCAGACAGAUAGUUGUAUCCAGACUUAAAAAAUCAUCACCUGAGUGCCAAGGAUUUAGCUCAGUGGUCCCACCACCUGCCUCGAAAGUGCAAGGUCCCAAGUUCGAUCCCCAUACCAAAAAAAAAAAAUCAUCAACUGAAUAUUCUGUAUGAUGGGUUUUCCCUUUCUCCUUGUUAUUAAAAUGGAUUUAGAAUGGCAUUUGCAUGUGGUAUAAACAGUUUGAAUAGAAAAAUUAGAACAAGAAAAGUUGAUUUUCUGGCCUAUUUUCCCAAAUAUGUCUUAAUAGUUUUGGUUUCUUUUCUUUUCUUCUUUUUUUUAUGUUUUUGGUGGUGG
Molecule: long non-coding RNA, 1479 nt
Filed under: Heterocephalus glaber (naked mole-rat)
Lineage: Eukaryota; Metazoa; Chordata; Mammalia; Rodentia; Bathyergidae
Description: lncRNA (ENSHGLG00100048226.1)
Source: RNAcentral